UACGGGGGGAGCAAGCGUUGUUCGGAUUUACUGGGCGUAAAGGGCGCGUAGGCGGCACUGCAAGUCAGUUGUGAAAUCUCCGGGCUUAACCCGGAAAGGUCAACUGAUACUGCGGGGCUAGAGUGCAGAAGGGGCAACUGGAAUUCUCGGUGUAGCGGUGAAAUGCGUAGAUAUCGAGAGGAACACCUGCGGCGAAGGCGGGUUGCUGGGCUGACACUGACGCUGAGGCGCGAAAGCCAGGGGAGCGAACGGG
Molecule: ribosomal RNA, 253 nt
Filed under: uncultured bacterium
Lineage: Bacteria
Description: partial 16S ribosomal RNA
Rfam family: Bacterial small subunit ribosomal RNA
Source: RNAcentral